AUGGAUCCCUGCUGGACCUGGGGGGCGAUGGCCUUACUCUGCCUCCUCAUGCCGGGGGGGCACCCCAAUCCUUGCCGGGUGUCCAUCUACCCCGAGGAACCGACGGUGGAGUUCGGCAGCUCUCUCCUCCUCAAUUGCACCAGUUCUUGCCGUAACUACAGCCGGCUGAACUGGGAGGUCUCCAUCACCAAGAUGGGGACGCAGGGACCCGGCUGGGUGUCCCUCAGCAUCCCCAACGUCACCAGCUGGAGCUUGGAGCUCCAGUGCUUCGGCAUUUUCGGGCAGGAGCGGAAUAUCGCCGAGACCACCCUCCACGCUUACCGUAAGGACCGAGGCAUGGGGGGGGACGGGGACAGGGGUCCCGGCAUGCUCCCAGUCACCUCCACCCCCUUCUUGUCCUUCCCCACAGGGUUCUCGCCCCCCCAAAUUUACCUGGAGGGUGACACGGUGGCCGGCAAAGAGGCGCGUGUCACCUGCAACGCGUCCGCCCAGGUCUCCCCCCACGACCCCCCAAAUCUCCACCUGACGCUGUGGGGUGGGGGGCUCCCCCCCAGCACCCGCCGAGGUCCCUCCGUGGGGUUGAGUUUCACGGCGCAGCUGGAGCAGCACGGCCAGGAGGUGAUGUGCGAGGCCGUGUUGCGGCUCGGGCGCCGUACGGUCAACGCCAGCGCCGCGGUUACGCUGUGGGUCUGGGGUGAGUUUGGGGACAGGGAUAUGGGGUGGGGGCGGCGUAAAAACCCCUCGUGGUUGGAAACGCCGGUGCCGUGGUGUGAACCCUGGGUGCCCUGUGGUCAGGGUGGUCUCUGGCAUCAGGGUGGGGAGGAGAAGGGGCACCCAGCCGGGCUCUGGGUGCCGAUUCCCUGCCACCCCCCCCUUCCAGCUGCCCCCCACGAUGUCCAGGUGUGGGCACCGCAGACCGCCUUCAUCACCGGUGACAACCUCACGGUGACGUGCCGGGCAGAGGGGAACCCCCCGCCGCAGCUCCGCUGGGAGAUGCCCACCAACACCAGCUGGGAGCUGUGGGACGGCGGCACCACCAUCACCAUCCCGGCUGCCCAACGGGUUCACGACGGCACCUACCGCUGCCUGGCCGAGAACCGCUACGGCACCGGCGCUGCCAGCAUCGACCUCGUCUUCCGAGGUGAGGGGUGCCUGCGGUGGCACCUGGUGGCACCCAGUCCCGCACCGGGGCCGGGUGCCGCGGUGAGGGGUUGGCACAGCACAGGCGUAAGCGAUGAAGAAGGGGAUGGAGGUGGCAUCACCCAGCGAUGCCAAUCCCGGUGCCCGGCUCAACCCCAUCCUCUCUCCCCGUAGGGUCCUCCCGCAGCCCCCUGAUCCCCGUGGUCGUGACCUUGGCCAUGGUCACCGUACUGGCCGUUGUCGCCGUCUUCUGGUGGCUUUAUCGCACCCAAGGCUGGAAGCCGAUGCCUAGCUAGCCCAGCUAGUCCUGCCUUGCUGAGCCGUACGUGGGAGCAAAGAGACAAUUUCCUCCACGUCCCUGUGUAUUUUUUUCCCACCUUUUCCCGCUUUGCUGGCUCCGAUCUCCGGCGAGGGAGGUGAAUUGGAAGGGAGGGUGAGGCGCCGGCUCUGGGCAUCGCUCCCGGCUCCUGGCACCGCGUUGUCUCCGAGGGGAAAAUCCUGGGACAGGUCUGGGCAUGGCCCGAGUGGAGCCGUUUCCUGGCUCUCACGUGGCUGAGCGUUAAUGAGCCGCCCUCGUUAGUGGGAGGGCAGAGGGACACGUGGGGCACCCGUUGUGAUCCUGCCAGCC
This is a long non-coding RNA of Accipiter nisus (Eurasian sparrowhawk), 1768 nucleotides long. Lineage: Eukaryota; Metazoa; Chordata; Aves; Accipitriformes; Accipitridae. The record is from Ensembl.